GAAAGAAAAAAAAACACCAUGAAUCAUUUCUUCGCCGUAAACAGUUGCACUGGAUCUGUAUACCGUACCGAGCAAUAAUCGUCCAACCUGACGUCAGUUCAGAAAAUUGUCGGCACAGUUAGCCACGAUCCAACCAUUUGCCAGGGUGGACCUCAGUAGCAAAUCAACGUCAGCCCGGGGUUGGGCCUUCAUCAAACUCCAGUGCCGACUACAGAACUACAGAACACGACUCGCUGUCUGAUUCAGCUGGACACAGCUAUUUCUGGCAAAGUAGAUGAUGUGUCUGUGGGGAUGAAUGACGUCAAACCGUACCUCAACUAUAGGAGUCCGUCGGUGAGCUUGCCGAGCUUGAAAACAUGACAAAGAUGCCAGAGGUAUGGACGACGCUCCAGAUGAUUUCUUGGCAGCAGCAAAGCCCGAUUAUCGGCGUGGGUGGAGCAAAACCGGACCUUCAUGGCGGAAACAUGGGAAGACAGCGCCCGAACUUACAGGCCACACUCACUGGAGCAACACAUUCUCAAGAAUGAACAGACUUCACGCCAGCGCAGAUCUUCCAGUUAUUUUUCUCGCAAGUGGUGUGGGAGCUACUGGUCACUGAAACCAACCGCUAUGCUGAGCAGAAUAUGACACAGAAGUCAUCACCGGGCCACCCAAGUCGUUGGUCUCCAACAACUAUUCCAGUCUAAAAUGAUGGCCUUUGUAGCACUACUGGGUGUGUACGGGUAUCAACAAGCGGCCUCACUACAUGUACUGGAGCAACUUGGACACUGUGCACAGUGCCAUCUAUCUGGCAACCACGUCUCGCAACAGAUUUAUGGCAAUUCUCAAAUUCAUCCAUCUGACCAACAACCAAGUAGCUUUAAAUACGGACACUACUCCUGACAAGCUGACAAAAGUCCGCCAAUUUGUUCAGAAAAUAAUACCCUCGUUUUUUUGUAAUUACAGACCCAGCCAAAACCUUGCCACUGACGAGACCAUGAUCAAAUUCAAGGGAAGACUAUCAUUCAAACAGUAUAUGCCAAGAAAGCCAACCCAAUGGGGAAUCAAGUGUUUCUCCUUGAACGAAUCUGAAAUGGAGUUCACAUGGGCCUGGACAGUGUACACAGGGUCACAAACACAAACAUCAAGUGUCGACUCGAAGAUAGACAAUGUUGCUGAUUCCACUGUAGUACCUCGACCAGUUCAAGUUGUUUGAAACUUGUCGAUCGAUUUGGAAAUCAGGGACAGUGCACCUUUGCUGAUAAUUGGUACACCAGGCCUGCUCUUACUGUUAACCCAGCUGGGCUUUAGCUUUUGUGGAACUGUUUGAUACAAGACUUAAGGAAUUCCUCAUUUUGCAAACCCCCAAGACUGUCCUAUGGCUAAAGGAGAUAAACACUGCUUUUAUGAAAAGUCAGGACAACAAAAAAGCGUGACACACUUGACAAACUAACUAUGAUAACUGUAGUAUAACUAAUAAGCAGAUUCGGCGUACAAACUCUCCCACAGGUUAUCGUGACAUCAUCAAACCAAACACUGUCACUGAGUACAACAAGCAUGUGGGAGCCUGAGGAACCGAUGCUGCAUCACAACAGUGCGUGUACUAUGCACAUGCUAACAGUCUCGGUGAAGUGGCGGAAACGAGUAUUAAAACUUUGCUCUUCUAGACAUGAGUUCAAAAUGCAAGAGCGUAUAAUAGUCUUAACACCAACUUUAGACUGUCAAAUCUUGAUUUUCAACUCUAUCUGAUCCAAGGCCUGCUGUCAAUGGGAAGAGUUGAGGUGCCGGUCAUGUGCACAAGAGUAUCCCCUGUAUGUGAGAAGAUGUACAACAUAUUCCAGGCAAAACUAGGCAAAAGCGCCACUUUGUUGUUUGCAGUACUCGGAGACGGCAAAUCUGCAUGAUUUAUAAGACGUGCCCAACCAAUGUGUGUCAUUGGAUGCUGAAAUUUCACUCCUAAGAUUCCUUAAAUCUGUCAAAAGUUUGCCGAUUUGUGUUGGUUUUUAUUUUAUUUAUUUAUCUAUUUAUUUUGUUAGUUUUUUUAAACUGUUUUUAGUUGACUAAAAUUCCCAAUUACCCCCCCCCCUUAAAAAGCUGUGGUAGAAACGAGCCAGCACGGUGCAGAGUUUCUCCCAACAUUGGGGGGAAGGAGGGGACUUGGCAUUCUCUCCAAUCCACGUAGACCUCUUUUGUCAUUUUGGAGUUGCACACUUAAUUUUUCGGCUAGCGCUAACUAAUAAGAAUAUUCGUUUUGUGAAAUUCACUUGUGAAAACAUUAAAGGCGGACUAAGUGACUAA
RNAcentral lists this unclassified non-coding RNA (2277 nucleotides) under Acanthaster planci (crown-of-thorns starfish). RNAcentral's name for it is "protein unc-93 homolog A-like, transcript variant X3". Lineage: Eukaryota; Metazoa; Echinodermata; Asteroidea; Valvatida; Acanthasteridae. The record is from RNAcentral.